RNAcentral lists this ribosomal RNA (253 nucleotides) under uncultured bacterium. RNAcentral describes it as "partial 16S ribosomal RNA". It matches the Rfam family "Bacterial small subunit ribosomal RNA", at positions 524 to 776 of the family's 1533-position model. The record is from RNAcentral.
UACAGAGGUCUCAAGCGUUGUUCGGAUUCAUUGGGCGUAAAGGGUGCGUAGGCGGCGCGGUAAGUCGGGUGUGAAAUCUCGGGGCUUAACUCCGAAACUGCAUUCGAUACUGCCGUGCUUGAGGACUGGAGAGGAGACUGGAAUUUACGGUGUAGCGGUGAAAUGCGCAGAUAUCGUAAGGAAGACCAGUGGCGAAGGCGGGUCUCUGGACAGUUCCUGACGCUGAGGCACGAAGGCCAGGGGAGCAAACGGG